RNAcentral lists this ribosomal RNA (244 nucleotides) under Entoloma sp. Its description in RNAcentral is "partial large subunit ribosomal RNA". The record is from RNAcentral. Lineage: Eukaryota; Fungi; Basidiomycota; Agaricomycetes; Agaricales; Entolomataceae.
AAACGCUUGAAAGUCAGUCGCAUUGGCCAGGGAUCAACCUUGCUCUUCUGCUUGGUGCAAUUCCUGGUUGAUGGGUCAGCAUCAAUUUUGACCAGUGGAAAAAGGUCAAGGGAAUGUGGCAUCUUUGGAUGUGUUAUAGCCCUUGGCUGCAUACAUUGGUUGGGAUUGAGGAACUCAGCACGCCGCAAGGCCGGGUUUUUAACCACGUUCGUGCUUAGGAUGCUGGCAUAAUGGCUUUAAUCGA